AGGGGCAAAUUGUGCCCCUGUAGUGCGUGUGAAUAGGGUGUUCUUUGGCCAGACAUCUGGUUCGUGAAUC
Molecule: non-coding RNA, 70 nt
Filed under: unclassified sequences
Description: L13-Bacteroidia ribosomal protein leader
Rfam family: L13-Bacteroidia ribosomal protein leader
Source: RNAcentral